Molecule: ribosomal RNA, 2221 nt
Filed under: Thompsonia littoralis
Lineage: Eukaryota; Metazoa; Arthropoda; Thecostraca; Thompsoniidae
Description: SSU rRNA
Rfam family: Eukaryotic small subunit ribosomal RNA
Source: RNAcentral
CCUGGUUGAUCCUGCCAGUAAUGAUAUGCUUGUCUUAAAGAUUAAGCCAUGCAUGUGUCAGUUCAAGCUUUGCAAAGUGAAACCGCGAAUGGCUCAUUAAACCAGCUAUGAUUUGCUGGCCGAGACGUGUUUGACAUGGAUAACUGUGGUAAUUCUAUAGCUAAUACAUGCUACCGACUUGCCGUCGACGUUGCGAUGCAUGUCGCUCGACUUGCAUGGCGCUAGACGGCGAGGCUUUUAUUGGCUUAGAAAACCGACUGCGUUAGUGGGCGCUUUGUCGUCUCGCUUGUGCAACAAUUAUCCAGUGGAAUCACGAUAACAUUGUAGUGAAUCGUACGGUCUUGAACCGACGAUGCGUUCUAUAAAUGUCUGACCUAUCAGCUGUGGACGGUUUGAUAGAGGCUGACCGUGGCAAUGACGGGUGACGGGGAAUCUGGGUUCGAUUCCGGAGAGGGAGCCUGAGAAACGGCUACCACAUCUAAGGAAGGCAGCAGGCACGUAACUUACCCACUCCCAGCUCAGGGAGGUAGUGACAAUAAAUACCUUACAGACGUAUCGUCUAGCGGUACGUCUCAAACGGAAUGAGUACAAUAUGAAGUAUUUAACGAGAACCGACUGGAGGGCAAGUCUGGUGCCAGCAGCCGCGGUAAUUCCAGCUCCAGUAGCAUAUAUUAAAGUUGUUGCGGUUAAAAAGCUCGUAGUUGGAUAUCAAUGCGUGCCCGGUUUGUCAUUCCCGUUUGUGUGCUUGUGCCCAACUGCGCAACAGGCCGGUCGUUGUGUGCGCACGUGUGUCACACACACGCGCACACUCACGUGUGCGUGUGUGGCGCGUGUGUGCACGUCGGCCAUGAAGCGUGUUGUGUGCGGGCCCAGUGUGCAGCGGGGCUUAAAUGACGACUGGCCGCAUCGUUUCGCAGCCUGUUUUGUUGGCGGGCCGGUUUUCUGAACUGGCCUGUCGACAGCCGGCAGUUUACUUUGACUAAAUUUGAAUGCUUAACGUAUGCUGUAUUGCUUGAAUAUAUUGUCAUGGCAUUGGAGAAUAGUGCCCUGAUUCACAUAUGGUUGGUUUUUGAAUCGAAGGGAAAUGAUUAAUAGAGACUGACGGAGGCAUUCGUAUUGCAACGCCAGGGGGUGAAAUCCAAUGACCGUUGCAAGACGAACUACUGCGAAAGCAUUUGCCGAGAAUGUUUUCAUUAGUCAAGAACGAAAGUUAGAGGUUCGAAGGCGAUCAGAUACCGCCCUAGUUCUAACCGUAAACGAUGUCGACCAGCAAUCCGCAACAGUCACUUAGAGACCGUGCGGGCGGCUUCAACCGGGGAAACCAGAGUUUCUGGACUCCGGGGGGAGUAUGGUUGCAAAACAGAAACUUAAAGGAAUUGACGGAAGGGCACCACCAGGAGUGGAGCUUGCGGCUUAAUUUGACUCAACACGGAACAACUUACCAGGCCAGAACACUCUUAGGAUUGACAGACUGAAAGCUCUUUCUUGAUUGAGUGGGUGGUGGUGCAUGGCCGUUCUUGGUUGGUGGAGUGAUUUGUCUGGUUUAUUCCGAUAACGAACGAGACUCUAGCCUACUUGUCGAGUGCGCAGUCUAUAUGUGGUCUAGCUGUGCGUCGAUUGUGGUGCUUGCUCGUGUCAUACUGUUGACUGUAUACGCGCACGCUAGCACACGUGUGCGCUUGCGUACAUCUGUGUGUGUGUGUGCGCGUGUGCAUGUUUGCGGUGGGCACGGUGUCAACGCGUGCUGUGGUCGACGCGUUGGCUGACUAUUGUAGUUAAGACUGUCGAUUGUGUGCACUUCUUAGCGGGAUUGUCGGUUGUGUUCAAAAACCGAUAGAAAAAGAGCAAUAACAGGUCUGUGAUGCCCUUAGAUGUUCUGGGCUGCCCGCGUGUUACACUGGAGUGGUCAACGCGUUACUUGUUUCUGCUUCGAGAGAAGUGGGCAGUCGUGUAAGCUAUUCCGUGAUUGGAAUUGAAAGUUGCAAUUAUCUUUCAUGAACGAGGAAUUCCAAGUAAGCGCAAGUCAUUAACUUGCGCUGAUUAAGUCCCUGCCCUUUGUACACACCGCCNGUCGCUACUACCGAUGGACGACUUGGUGAGGUCGUUCAGAGUGGUUGUGCUGCUUCGGCAGCUCAGCCGCAAAAACGCCCAAACUUGGUCGUCUAGAGGAAGUAAAAGUCGUAACAAGGUUUCCGUAGGUGAACCUGCGGAAGGAUCAUUA